Molecule: ribosomal RNA, 334 nt
Filed under: uncultured Bacillota bacterium
Lineage: Bacteria; Bacillati; Bacillota
Description: bacterial SSU rRNA
Rfam family: Bacterial small subunit ribosomal RNA
Source: RNAcentral
GACGAACGCUGGCGGCGUGCCUAAUACAUGCAAGUCGAGCGGACAGAAGGGAGCUUGCUCCCGGACGUUAGCGGCGGACGGGUGAGUAACACGUGGGCAACCUGCCCCUUAGACUGGGAUAACUCCGGGAAACCGGAGCUAAUACCGGAUAAUCCCUUUCUCCACCUGGAGAGAGGGUGAAAGAUGGCUUCGGCUAUCACUAGGGGGAUGGGCCCGCGGCGCAUUAGCUAGUUGGUAAGGUAACGGCUUACCAAGGCGACGAUGCGUAGCCGACCUGAGAGGGUGAUCGGCCACACUGGGACUGAGACACGGCCCAGACUCCUACGGGUGGCAG